This 466-nucleotide long non-coding RNA is filed under the name Trifolium pratense (red clover). Its description in RNAcentral is "long non-coding RNA (TPRA_LNC004316)". The record is from RNAcentral. Lineage: Eukaryota; Viridiplantae; Streptophyta; Magnoliopsida; Fabales; Fabaceae.
UUAAGUGGGCAGGGUCAAUUGAGCGGAACAAGAGAGACCUGUCCUUGGACCAAGCGCAAAUGUUUUUUAUGGAAUGGUGACUUGGGGUUUGGUUUAGGGAUGAUGUUGUAGUCAGGACUGUAGUAUUUAAAUAUAAGUUGUGCAUUGUAAACCUUAAUUUUUCACCGAUAAUACAAAGGAGUCGGAGAUGUAGGCUAUAUUGGCUGGACUUGGUUACCAAACAUCAUAUGUUCAUUCUUUUCGUUUAUUGUUUCUUUAAUCGUUUGAUUUUUGAACCAGUUUGUUGUUCUAACAUACUUAUCGGCAACACACCAUGUUUAAAUUGGUAGAAAAGUCAAUGUAAACUGUCACAUAUUCCACUCAAAUCUUUCUCUUGUCUCUAAUGAAGUUGGAUGGCAUAAUAAUAAUUAAAACCAUUGAGACAACUCUGUAUCAAGAACUGAAGGAAUAUAGGGAGUUGAUCCUG